AGAAGAAAUUUCUUGUCACAAGCUAUGCAACCCUUCAAUCCUCAACAUGCUAUGCAAUCCUUCAAUCUGGAAAAAAAAAAUCACACUAUUUUAAGUCAUUUCGUCAUAGUGCAUAAUAAAGAUAAUCAUUAAUAAAUAUGAAAUAAUUAAGAAAUAGAACUUACUGAACAUUUUCGGCAAAAUUAUGUGAAUCAUCUUCUUCAGUUAUAAAAUCCCAGAUGAUUGCAUAUAUGUUAGCACAUACUAUGUCUUCAUUGCAAUAUUUUUUAAUAGUUCGUCAAUUUAUUUUUGUAUCCAACAUAUAUUUUUUCAAAUAAUAGCAUAAAACAUCAUUCUCUAUAAUGCAAAUA
Molecule: long non-coding RNA, 350 nt
Filed under: Solanum tuberosum (potato)
Lineage: Eukaryota; Viridiplantae; Streptophyta; Magnoliopsida; Solanales; Solanaceae
Description: long non-coding RNA (STUB_LNC010636)
Source: RNAcentral